AAAAAAAAAAGAAAUGGAAAAGCAGGAUGAGAUGAGAUUAUCUCGUAGUAUGACCCUCGUAUAAGUGCGUGUGUGAGUUGUGGACUAGUGUGUUACUGUGUGCGACCUUUGAUGACUAGUAAGAGAAGCCAAGUUGCAAUAUGAGAUUUUUUUAGGUUUGGCUUUUACCCUUUUUAAAUUUUUCUGCAGAUUUUGUCCUCUGAAUCUGACGGUGAUUUGGUGGGAGUGGCAUCUGCGGAUGGGGUGAACAAGGCCGUUU
RNAcentral lists this long non-coding RNA (259 nucleotides) under Olea europaea (common olive). Its description in RNAcentral is "long non-coding RNA (OEUR_LNC004343)". Lineage: Eukaryota; Viridiplantae; Streptophyta; Magnoliopsida; Lamiales; Oleaceae. The record is from RNAcentral.